AGCGAACGCUGGCGGCAUGCUAAACACAUGCAAGUCGCACGAACCUUUCGGGGUUAGUGGCGGACGGGUGAGUAACGCGUAGGUAUCUAUCCAUGGGUGGGGGAUAACUCUGGGAAACUGGAGCUAAUACCGCAUGACACCUGAGGGUCAAAGGCGCGAGUCGCCUGUGGAGGAGCCUGCGUUCGAUUAGCUAGUUGGCGGGGUAAAGGCCCACCAAGGCGAUGAUCGAUAGCUGGUCUGAGAGGAUGAUCAGCCACACUGGGACUGAGACACGGCCCAGACUCCUACGGGAGGCAGCAGUGGGGAAUAUUGGACAAUGGGCGCAAGCUUGAUCCAGCAAUGCCGCGUGUGUGAAGAAGGUCUUCGGAUUGUAAAGCACUUUCGACGGGGACGAUGAUGACGGUACCCGUAGAAGAAGCCCCGGCUAACUUCGUGCCAGCAGCCGCAGUAA
This 451-nucleotide ribosomal RNA is filed under the name uncultured bacterium. Its description in RNAcentral is "partial 16S ribosomal RNA". It matches the Rfam family "Bacterial small subunit ribosomal RNA", at positions 29 to 523 of the family's 1533-position model. The record is from RNAcentral.